This 2243-nucleotide ribosomal RNA is filed under the name Listeria innocua. Its description in RNAcentral is "partial 23S ribosomal RNA". It matches the Rfam family "Bacterial large subunit ribosomal RNA", at positions 677 to 2912 of the family's 2925-position model. The record is from RNAcentral. Lineage: Bacteria; Bacillati; Bacillota; Bacilli; Caryophanales; Listeriaceae.
GCGAGUCUGAAUAGGGCGCAUAAGUAACAGGUCGUAGACCCGAAACCAGGUGAUCUACCCAUGUCCAGGAUGAAGGUAAGGUAAUACUUACUGGAGGUCCGAACCCACGCACGUUGAAAAGUGCGGGGAUGAGGUGUGGGUAGCGGAGAAAUUCCAAUCGAACUUGGAGAUAGCUGGUUCUCUCCGAAAUAGCUUUAGGGCUAGCCUCGAGGUAAAGAGUCAUGGAGGUAGAGCACUGUUUGGACUAGGGGCCCUUCUCGGGUUACCGAAUUCAGAUAAACUCCGAAUGCCAUGUACUUAUACUCGGGAGUCAGACUGCGAGUGAUAAGAUCCGUAGUCGAAAGGGAAACAGCCCAGACCACCAGUUAAGGUCCCCAAAUAUAUGUUAAGUGGAAAAGGAUGUGGGGUUGCUUAGACAACCAGGAUGUUGGCUUAGAAGCAGCCACCAUUGAAAGAGUGCGUAAUAGCUCACUGGUCGAGUGACCCCGCGCCGAAAAUGUACCGGGGCUAAACAUAUUACCGAAACUGUGGAUGAACCUCUUCGGAGGUUCGUGGUAGGAGAGCGUUCUAAGGGCGGUGAAGUCAGACCGGAAGGACUGGUGGAGCGCUUAGAAGUGAGAAUGCCGGUAUGAGUAGCGAAAGAAGGGUGAGAAUCCCUUCCACCGAAUAUCUAAGGUUUCCUGAGGAAGGCUCGUCCGCUCAGGGUUAGUCGGGACCUAAGCCGAGGCCGAUAGGCGUAGGCGAUGGACAACAGGUAGAGAUUCCUGUACCAGUGCUAAUUGUUUAACCGAUGGGGUGACACAGAAGGAUAGGGAAUCGCACGAAUGGAAAUGUGCGUCCAAGCAGUGAGUGUGAGAAGUAGGCAAAUCCGCUUCUUGCGAAGCAUGAGCUGUGAUGGGGAAGGAAAUUAAGUACGGAAGUUCCUGAUUUCACGCUGUCAAGAAAAGCCUCUAGGAAGAGUAGUACUGCCCGUACCGCAAACCGACACAGGUAGAUGAGGAGAGAAUCCUAAGGUGAGCGAGAGAACUCUCGUUAAGGAACUCGGCAAAAUGACCCCGUAACUUCGGGAGAAGGGGUGCUCUAUUAGGGUGCAAGCCCGAGAGAGCCGCAGUGAAUAGGCCCAGGCGACUGUUUAGCAAAAACACAGGUCUCUGCAAAACCGUAAGGUGACGUAUAGGGGCUGACGCCUGCCCGGUGCUGGAAGGUUAAGAGGAGUGCUUAGCUUCGGCGAAGGUACGAAUUGAAGCCCCAGUAAACGGCGGCCGUAACUAUAACGGUCCUAAGGUAGCGAAAUUCCUUGUCGGGUAAGUUCCGACCCGCACGAAAGGCGCAACGAUCUGGGCACUGUCUCAACGAGAGACUCGGUGAAAUUAUAGUACCUGUGAAGAUGCAGGUUACCCGCGACAGGACGGAAAGACCCCGUGGAGCUUUACUGCAACCUGAUAUGGAAUGUUUGUACCGCUUGUACAGGAUAGGUAGGAGCCGAAGAGACGUGUGCGCUAGCAUACGAGGAGGCAAUGGUGGGAUACUACCCUGGCUGUAUGACCAUUCUAACCCGCCACGCUAAGCGCGUGGGGAGACAGUGUCAGGUGGGCAGUUUGACUGGGGCGGUCGCCUCCUAAAGAGUAACGGAGGCGCCCAAAGGUUCCCUCAGAAUGGAUGGAAAUCAUUCGCAGAGUGUAAAGGCACAAGGGAGCUUGACUGCGAGACUGACAAGUCGAGCAGGGACGAAAGUCGGGCUUAGUGAUCCGGUGGUUCCGCAUGGAAGGGCCAUCGCUCAACGGAUAAAAGCUACCCCGGGGAUAACAGGCUUAUCUCCCCCAAGAGUCCACAUCGACGGGGAGGUUUGGCACCUCGAUGUCGGCUCGUCGCAUCCUGGGGCUGUAGUCGGUCCCAAGGGUUGGGCUGUUCGCCCAUUAAAGCGGCACGCGAGCUGGGUUCAGAACGUCGUGAGACAGUUCGGUCCCUAUCCGUCGCGGGCGCAGGAAAUUUGAGAGGAGCUGUCCUUAGUACGAGAGGACCGGGAUGGACACACCGCUGGUGUACCAGUUGUUCCGCCAGGAGCAUCGCUGGGUAGCUAUGUGUGGCAGGGAUAAACGCUGAAAGCAUCUAAGCGUGAAGCCCCCCUCAAGAUGAGAUUUCCCAUUUCUUCGGAAAGUAAGAUCCCUGAAAGAUGAUCAGGUAGAUAGGUUUGGAGUGGAAGUGUAGCGAUACAUGGAGCGGACAAAUACUAAUCGAUCGAG